GACGAACGCUGGCGGCGUGCUUAACACAUGCAAGUCGAACGAUAAGGCCCUUCGGGGUGCACGAGUGGCGAACGGGUGAGUAACACGUGGGUGAUCUGCCCUGCACUUCGGGAUAAGCCUGGGAAGCUGGGUCUAAUACCGGAUAGGACCACUGCCUGCAUGGGUGGUGGUGGAAAGCUUUUGCGGUGUGGGAUGGGCCCGCGGCCUAUCAGCUUGUUGGUGGGGUGAUGGCCUACCAAGGCGACGACGGGUAGCCGGCCUGAGAGGGUGACCGGCCACACUGGGACUGAGAUACGGCCCAGACUCCUACGGGAGGCAGCAGUGGGGAAUAUUGCACAAUGGGCGCAAGCCUGAUGCAGCGACGCCGCGUGAGGGAUGACGGCCUUCGGGUUGUAAACCUCUUUCAGCACCGACGAAGCGCAAGUGACGGUAGGUGCAGAAGAAGGACCGGCCAACUACGUGCCAGCCGCCGCUGUAA
RNAcentral lists this ribosomal RNA (478 nucleotides) under uncultured bacterium. RNAcentral's name for it is "partial 16S ribosomal RNA". It matches the Rfam family "Bacterial small subunit ribosomal RNA", at positions 28 to 523 of the family's 1533-position model. The record is from RNAcentral.